Molecule: ribosomal RNA, 584 nt
Filed under: uncultured bacterium
Lineage: Bacteria
Description: partial 16S ribosomal RNA
Rfam family: Bacterial small subunit ribosomal RNA
Source: RNAcentral
UGGGGAAUUUUGGACAAUGGGCGAAAGCCUGAUCCAACAAUGCCGCGUGUGUGAAGAAGGCCUUCGGGUUGUAAAGCACUUUUGUCCGGAAAGAAAUCCUUGGCUCUAAUACAGUCGGGGGAUGACGGUACCGGAAGAAUAAGCACCGGCUAACUACGUGCCAGCAGCCGCGGUAAUACGUAGGGUGCAAGCGUUAAUCGGAAUUACUGGGCGUAAAGCGUGCGCAGGCGGUUUGCUAAGACCGAUGUGAAAUCCCCGGGCUCAACCUGGGAACUGCAUUGGUGACUGGCAGGCUAGAGUAUGGCAGAGGGGGGUAGAAUUCCACGUGUAGCAGUGAAAUGCGUAGAGAUGUGGAGGAAUACCGAUGGCGAAGGCAGCCCCCUGGGCAAUACUGACGCUCAUGCACGAAAGCGUGGGGAGCAAACAGGAUUAGAUACCCUGGUAGUCCACGCCCUAAACGAUGUCAACUAGUUGUUGGGGAUUCAUUUCCUUAGUAACGUAGCUAACGCGUGAAGUUGACCGCCUGGGGAGUACGGUCGCAAGAUUAAAACUCAAAUGAAUUGACGGGGUCAUAGCUGUUUCCU